CAAAAGGUUUUACUCAAAACCCCAACAUAGAUUACUUUGAUACUUUU
Molecule: non-coding RNA, 47 nt
Organism: Vigna radiata var. radiata (mung bean)
Lineage: Eukaryota; Viridiplantae; Streptophyta; Magnoliopsida; Fabales; Fabaceae
Source: Rfam